RNAcentral lists this long non-coding RNA (7763 nucleotides) under Coffea arabica (coffee). Its description in RNAcentral is "long non-coding RNA (CARA_LNC005019)". Lineage: Eukaryota; Viridiplantae; Streptophyta; Magnoliopsida; Gentianales; Rubiaceae. The record is from RNAcentral.
AGAGGUGCCGGAGGAAGAAAUAAUGGAACUAACGGGGGACCAAAUGGAAGAGGUCAACCUAGGAACGCUCCACAAGGAAGUCGUGCGAUAACUUUCCUGGGAACUUGUGGGUAUUGCAAGAAACCUGGACAUACCGAGGCCGGUUGCUGGAGGAAAGCAGGAAAGUGCUUGAAGUGUGGAAGCAGCGAGCACCAAAUUGCCGGUUGCCCGAAAAUACAAGAGGAUAGUACCCUGAAUGAUGAACCAGCCAACAUUAGAGAGAAUAGGCCGAAAGUUCCUACCAGGGUUUACGCUAUAAAUGACCAACCUGUACCUGAUUCUUCGGAAGCCGUGGAAGGUACUCUUCCCAUUUCUCAUCAAUUAGCUAGAGUGUUAAUUGAUCAUAGCGCAACUCAUUCAUUUGUGAACCAAACUUUUCCAUCCGGAGUUAACGUCAAACCUGUUAGAUUACCCUUGACCUUGAAGUUAAAACAUCAAUGGGUAAUAAGAUUUUAAUCAGUAGCUUAACUUAUAAUAACUGUGAAUUCUGGAUUGAAGGGCAUAAAAUACUAGUGGAUCUAAUCAAAUUGGACAUACGAGGUUAUGAUGUUAUUAUAUGAAAGAAUUUUCUAGCUCAUCACCAUGCUAAGCUUGAUUGCAGAACAAAAGUAUUGGAACUUUGGAUUUCCGAAGAAGCAACUUGGGAGUUAGAAGAAGAAAUGCAGAAAAAGUAUUCCGAUUUGUUUCUCAAGAAAGUAAGAAUUUUGAGGACAAAAUUCAUUUUAAGGAGGGGAGGAUGUGAGAACCCUGAAAAUAGACAUAUAAAUAUCAGUGCAUAUUUUAUUUGCAUUUUAAUUCUUUAAUAAAUUUUAGCACUAAGUCCAAUUGUUUUUAAGUAAGUACGUAGAAAUAAACGUUAUGUGCAAAAUAAAAGAAUUGUGCUAAACUACUAAACUUCUUAGUUUUGUUACAUUAACUUCAUAUUUCAAUGGUAAACUAUUUCAUUGAUCUAAUAAUUAAUUUUUUUGAAUUCUAGUAUUGUAAUUAAUUGUUUUGAAAUAAAAGGGUAAAGAUAAUUUCUAUGUAAUAAAUAAUAUAAUUGUGCCAAUAUUGAAUUAUUCGGUUUUGCUAUACUAAAUUAAUAUUUCUUGAGUUGGAUUAAUUCUAUUACUUUAAAAUAAAUUCUUUGAUUUCCGAUAGCUAGUUUUAAUCGUUAAUAAUGUUAAAUGUUUAUAGGAAUUUCCGCGUUAAGAUAAAAAUCAAUGAAUUUUAGAUAAAUAUGAUAUUCCUAUACUAAACAUACUUAAGGCAUGAAAAUUCGAUAAAUUUUGUGUAGGAUAACUUUAAUUCUUGAGAAUAAACAAUUGGAGAUGCGGAUAAUUAAGUUAAUCGCUAUAUAAUGUUAGGAACCUUAAUAUUUAAGUUUAAUCGAUAUUUAUUCGAUAAAAAUGGUUAAGUAUAUUGGGAGGGGUUAUUAGGCGUUCAAAUCACCCUUGAGGAUAAAUUUGAGAAAUUAAGUUGAGAUUAGGAAACCAAGUGAAAAGACCAAAAGACCUUACAAUUCCAUGCGAAACCAAACGACCCUUAUGACAAAUUCCCAUCACCGCAACUUCGACCAAUUGCAUUUUAACCAAUUCGAUACGCAACCUUUCGUAAACCGCGGCACCACAAAACCACUUGAUCAAAUUCACACUACAUCUCACAACCAUUUCAGCCGACUCUUUCUCUGCACAAACCAAAGUCGAAAUCAACUUCACUCCAAAUACCACUCUACUCUUUCAUUCUUGAUUCACAACAAAACCUCAUUUCUUCCCUGCCUUGACCGAGAGCACCGAGAGAGGGAGAGAGCUGCCGGAAACUUCUUGGAUUCAGCCGUGAGUUGGAGCAAAGCCAGGGAAGGGAAUCUGCCGGAAGCUUCACCAAUUCUACCUUCAUCCACAACCCUUUUCAGCCGCAACUCCAAACCAGAAUCACCAUCUGCACUUGGCCGAGAGCUAGGAAGGAAAUUUCUGGAAUUUCGUGUGAAAGAUUGGUUGCUAGCUGAGGUAAUUUCUGGUCUAAAAUAGGUUGAUUAUUAGUUGAUCAAGCUAUAUCAGAGAUUACAUGUUUAGAUUAUACAAUCGGAUGCUGAAAUCAAAACCUUACGAAAAUUUCUGUUUUGAGAAAUUGUUGCUACCGAGACUUGAGGUGUUAUUGCAGCUCCAAUUUUGUUUUGUGUGAUAAUCUGAACACCCAAAUGUCUUUAGCUGAGUAAGAAUUGGAAGAUUAAGACCAUGUAUGAUGAAUUGGGCAUUCGAAUGAAGUGUUAAAGCAGAGAUAAAUUUCUGGGUUAGUUUGGGGUAAGAAAAUUCUGCCGAGAGCCUAGCUUAAUUAUUACAGCUUAACUUGGUUCAAUUUGGUUGCUAUCAAACUGAUUUCUGGUCUGGAUAUGAUAGCUAGUUAAAUUCAGCAGUUGUGCAUGUGAAAUUAAGUGCAAAAUACAGGAAUUAACCAUAGAAAAAAAAUGGUUUGUGACUAAACAAAUGCUGGAAGAAUUUCUGGUUUGGCCGAGAGCUUAGCUUAAAGCUUUGCAACCUGAUUUGGUUUAGUGUUGUUGUUUAAACUUAUAACCAUGAUUAGAUGACUAAUAACAAGUUAAUUAGGCCCUGCAUGUAGUUGAUUAGUAAGUUUUAAAUCAGAGAAAUAAAGGUUAAGAGUACAUUCUGCUUCAAGGCAUGAUCACCCGAGCCCAAGCAGGAAAAUUUCUGGAAAUUUUGAUGUUAAUAAUGAUAGUUUGAACUCAAUUUUGAAAGUGGAAAAUUUUAGUAACUAACUAGGUGUUUAAAAUGUUGAAUUGAGUAACUAACACCAUGUUUAAACCAAGGAAAUUUGAACUAAAGUUGAAUUGUUUGCUGGAAAUCUUUGAAGCCGCAAGCAAGGUUGAACCAGAAAUUUCAGUUUGCCUUUAGAAAGUUUAAAUGGUUUCUGAACAUUUAUUUUAUUGUUUCCUUGGACUAUGAUGGUCUUGAGCUACAUAAGAGAUGCAAAAUUUAAGUGGUUUGGCGAGGAAAUAUUUAAUAUAUUGAAGGAUUGAAUUAAAGAGGUUAGUAUACAAAUGCUGGAAUUUCCUUUGUGAUGGCCGAAGGUUGAGUUGGAAGCUCAACUUAGUUUCGAAAAUUUCCUUCAAAUCAUGAGGGAUGGAAAUGCCUGGAAUAUGUUGUUUUGGAAUUAUAUAAGAAAUGUAUGGAUGGUUUGAAUAAAAACAUUUUGGUGCAAAAAGAGAAAAAGGAGUUUUUCACAUGUGAAAAAUGACAUUUCAGAUUUUUGGAUGUCCCUGACCAAUUUCAGUAAAAUGCUUAUAUCUUGGUGUAGAAAAAUCCGUUUAAGGUGCCGUCAGUGGCAUUUGAAACUAGAAACAUGGGCCUUGGUUCUGUAGAAAUUUUAUAUUUUUCCUCCAUGUGUACGGCUGUACGUUACUCCUCAAAGUAGGCUGUCUUGACUUAAUGUCCUGUUUCUUCAGGAAAAUGAAUUUUGACUUGAAUCGAAUGUUGGGCCUAUCUGUGAUUUGAAUUUCUGAAUUUCAAGUGAAGCUUACAUGCUAAAAUUUUCUGGUAUGUGAAUGGCAUUGAGCCUAGUAAAAUGCUAUGGUGGUAAUCUGAAUUUCUCGAGUUAUUUAAGCGUUAAAUUAGCCGUGACUUUACUCCUUGUUUCUAGUUGAAAUUUUGGUUUGAAAGUGAUUGGUUGCUAUCAAGAGCUAAUGAUUGAUGAAGCUCUUGGCCAUUUGAAUGAUUUUCUAAGUACUACAGGGUGACGAAAGUUAAUUGCUGGAAUGUCUUGGAGGCUUUACUUUUAUUUUAUUUUUAGUUGCUUAUGAUGGGCUUGCUGAAACCAAGUGCUAAUGAUUGAUGAAGCCUUGGUUGAUCAUUUUAUUUUAUUCAGAAAUGCACUUGUUGAAAUCUAGGGCUAAUGAUUGACGAAGCCCUAGUAAUUUGCUAUGUGAUUUUUGUCAUAUUUUGAUCCAUAUUAUAAUUUCGAAACGGAAUCGGAGCUGUGGAAGUUGUAUCGACCUUGCGAACUUGAGUAGCUGUGAUCAAAUUAAUCAGAAAUAUUUUUCCAGCUAGUAUUAUAUUAUAAAACUUUCCAACUCGAUAAUUUCCUUUAGCUCAAACUAGCCUCGAUUAGUAAAUAAGUUAUAUAGCUUUUGAAAAUUCUAAGUCUUAUUUUAAUUCAUUUUCUUUCCUUAAGCUAUAGUUAACUAUAGGAAAAGUUCCAAAAUACGAGUUGUAAUAAUUCUGGGGAAAAGCAUGGGAAACUUGCUCAGCAAGAAACCUUAUUUUAGGGUAAAAUAGUUUUAGUAAUAAUUUUUGCAGGAACCAUAGCUUUAAAGAAAUGUUCAAAGUAACUUUCUAACAUUGAUAUUAAGAGGUUUGUCGACUUAUUUCCAGAAAAUUUAUACUAGUUACCCUUUUUAUAAGGAAAAGUACCUCAAGGAAAAUUAUAAGAAACAUUUCUACUAUUUGUGUCAAGUUUCAAUCUAAGUAGAUUUUUGAAAUUACUAUGGGAAAGUAAACUAGCAAUAUAUUAGAUAAACCUCAAUGUGUUCGAGUCUAAAGACUGAAUAAAAGCUUAUAAUUUCAAUAUUUGAUAUUCUAGGAUAUUGCGAGGAAGCGGAAUUCGAUUCCCAACUUGACAUCUGAACUUCACUCUUGGUGAGUGUCCCUGCUUGUUUUAUGUUAUGUGGUUAAGCGCUUUAUUAACUUGCUAUAUUAUAACUAUGAAGUGGUUUUGACCCAUCGAAGUGAGCAAUGUGUACUUUAUCACACUAGCCUUUCGAGUGGUGACUUGCGUAAAACAUUUUUUUUGUGAAUCAAGUGCUAGACGUAAAGUCGUUGGGUGAAUCCCUCGACGAGUCAAUAAUAAUCAAUCAAGUGCUAGACGUAAAGUCGUUGGGUGAAUCCCUCGACGAGUCAAUAAUAAUAAAUCAAGUGCUAGACGUAAAGUCGUUGGGUGAAUCCCUCGACGAGUCAAUAAUAAUCAAUCAAGUGCUAGACGUAAAGUCGUUGGGUGAAUCCCUCGACGAGUCUAUAAUAAUUCAAAUCACAGAUGCUUAGACGUAAAGUCGUUUGGUGAAAUCCCUACGGACGAAGUCAUAUUAAAAUAUGUAGUUCAGGACGUACCGUCGUUGGGUAAUCCCGCUCUACAGUCUAAGUACACUUGGAGACGGUAUUAAUCGACCUUCCUAUUUGUUUACUUUCAAUCGAUCAAUACGUCGUGUAUUGUUUUAAAUUGAUUGCAAUGUUUUUUUGGAUUGAGGCACCAUUCUGCAGCUUUAGUCCUCACCACGUUUAUUUUUUUUCCGUAUCAAACAGGUUUUCUGGAAUUAAACUGAAAGCUGGAUGCUUACUUAAGUUUUCCUUUUGGAUUGUAUUUGAAUGCUAUAACUUAUUCUGUGGGCUGUAAUGUGUUAUUGAGAUAAUGCACUUUUCUUUUGGGUUGCCACUUGAAACGGGAAAAUGGGUAAACCCUAAUUCGAUUACUUGGCCUGUAAAUUUGUAAUAGAGAUUUAUGUAUUUAUCUACCCGGAUUGGUACGACUUUAUAUUUUGGUACGUAGCACGUGGGAUGUUUAAGAGCCUCGACUGGCUAAUUUAUCUCUGCUAUCUCUGAAGUUAAGUUGGAUGUAAGGAUGAUCUUAUUCGGGAAAAUUUGUUUUGUAACAGAGUAGUUUAUUACUCCAAGGUUUUAGGUUAGAAUGCUUGCAUGAGUCCUGGCGAGAGCUGGGCAGACGGCCCGCCAACCCUUUGGUUCGCCUUAGGGGAAAGUGGGGUCGCCACAGGUGGUAUCAGAGCUCUUAUCGAGCUCGUGCCGGGAGAGGACUCUCGGACUGUGGGGAUUGACUCGUUAAGUGUGGAACAAAAGUUUAUAGUUGGGAUAUUAGACAUGUAUGUUGGGUAGGAAUCUCAAAUAUAGGUAAGUUACUCUUGGGACUGGCCAGCCUGAGGUGUGAAUUAUCCUAUAGUCAGAUUCUUGUACCCGAAUACCAGAUAUUUCAUUAAAUGGUGUAUUUGCAAUUGAAAAGAAUUCAGUAUAUCGCAUUAUGAUGUGACUAGAAAUCAUGACUAAGUUUGGAAAAGUAGGAUUGAAGGAAUCAAGUCUAACUUUUGAAAGUUAAAGGUAAAGAGCCAAUGGUGUGAUCUUGAAGAUUAGUGCCAAUUACGUAUUUAAGAGGAAUUUCUCGAAAAAACCAGACAAUCGGUCUUUCUGAAGAAUGUUUAGGUGCGGGCCUUUUUUAGAUGGCUGCAUUGUGCCAAUAAGGACUUCAAUCUAAUGGGAAGGUUUUUAAGUUGAAUCUAAACUAAGGGUUGAGCUAUUAGUUAUGUGGUUAUAAUAAUCGGUGUAUUAUUGACUUGCUUUCCUUCAUGUUUAUAAAGAUCGAAAUAUGAGUUAUGUGUGAAAAUAUUAAAUGUACCGUGAAUUGUUUGGCUUUUAAAGUUGUAUGAACUUUGGUAUGUGAAUAUAUGCUUUAAGUGUUUUAAAUUUUCUUUCUCUUGGUAUUCAUGUUGACUUCACUUAAUAAUAACAAGUAAAUAAAUAGCAACAUCUUCGCUUGAUCACUUUAUUUUUAUCAAUAGGCAUAACUAGGCUAUGGAUCUACAAGUUAGAAAUAGAGGACGUGGGAGACCAACUAGGCAACACCCCGAGGGUGGUAGUGAUAGGGAACCUGAGGCCAACCCAGGCCAUGGUCAGGGAAACGUGGCCGGAGAUCCAGUGGCCACCGCAAUCAAUAGAAUAACUGAUGUGUUAGAGCGCAUGACUGAGCAUCAAGCCCAUGGAGCGGUGCAUCAGCAAGGAGGCCCAAUCGAUUACGAGGAUCGGGCAUUAGAGAGAUUCCUGAAGUUUGGACCUCCUAAGUUCUACGGAGGCCCAGAACCUGAGGUAGCCGAAGGUUGGUGGGAAAGGAUCUCUGAUAUUUUUGCCGCUCUAAAUUAUACGGAAGAGAGGCAAGUGACUUUUGCAGCAUUCCAGUUUGAAGGAGCUGCUCGUUCCUGGUGGAACCUAAUUAGGGUCAAUUGGGACAGGAAUCAUAUUCCCAGGACCUGGGCGAACUUCACAAGGGAGUUCAACGCCAAAUUUCUUCCACCUCUCAUUCAAGAAAAGAGAGAGGACGACUUCAUAAAAUGUAAACAAGGGGCGAUGAGUGUCGCCGAAUAUGAAGUCCAGUUCACAAAAUUGUCCCGAUUUGCUCCUGAACUGAUAGCCACGGAACAAAGGCGUGUCCGGAGGUUUGUGCAGGGACUAAACGUGGAAAUUCAGGAGGGAUUAGCUGCUGUUCGGAUAGACACAUUUGCUGAUGCUGUAGAAAGAGCUCAAAGGGUUGAAGUUGCUAGAACUCAAGUAAAAACUUACCAGGCCAAGAAAAGAUUUGCACCUAGCAGCAGUCGGGAGCCGACUUAUACAAAUGCUCCACUGGCCAAAGUGGGUCGAGGAACUGGUGCCAGAGGUGCCGGAGGAAGAAAUAAUGGAACUAACGGGGGACCAAAUGGAAGAGGUCAACCUAGGAACGCUCCACAAGGAAGUCGUGCGAUAACUUUCCUGGGAACUUGUGGGUAUUGCAAGAAACCUGGACAUACCGAGGCCGGUUGCUGGAGGAAAGCAGGAAAGUGCUUGAAGUGUGGAAGCAGCGAGCACCAAAUUGCCGGUUGCCCGAAAAUACAAGAGGAUAAUACCCUGAAUGAUGAACCAGCCAACAUUAGAGAGAAUAGGCCGAAAGUUCCUACCAGGGUUUACGCUAUAAAUGACCAACCU